GCAAAAUUAUAUGUUUUAGUAAAUCAGAAUUGGUAUCAGCGUUUCUACCAUAAAUUCUAUUUUGAACCUUCUUUGUAAACCAAAUUCUUUUCUUCCUUCCAGGUUUCUUUUCUUAGCUGUGUCUUAAUUGUGUCAUCCCUAAGCAUUAAAGGAAGAGUGCUGACAGUCUGUACUUGUACCCUCAGUGGAAGUAGAGGCACAAAAUGCUUUCUAUUGAUGAAGAAAACCUAAAAGUUAGAACUCCCUUCUGUGACUGAGCAAAUGGGAAGGAAAUUUCCUCAUGAAGUCAAAAGUUGCUAACACUGUGAGGUAAUGCUUUGUUGUCAUUUUGUGCAGCACUUUAUUAGCAAUGGUUCUGUUUUUCACAGUCCUGUUGGCCAUUUGUCUUUCUUGAGAAAAAGUGUGGUGUUCUAGAAAUAAUUUAAUUAUAAGGGUGGAUUAUUUUAUGUUUCCUUUUGUUUUUGAGUUGAAGAUGUUUCCUGGAGGACACUGUGGUCCUAGAGGACGCUGUGGUUAUGGACAUGUUACUGGGGAUGCCUUGCAGUGUCUUUGUUCCUUCUGCUAAUUAACUGAGUUCCCAUUUCACUUGCUCUCUCCUUUGCUGUACAGAACCUAAAUAAGUUGUUAAAUCAAUCCAUUCAACAACUACCUUUUGUUUGUUUGUUUUACUUGCUGUAUUUUUAAGUAGGGUCUCAUCUUGUACUCCAGGGUGCCUGAGACUCAUCAAACAACCCAAGCUGGCAUUUAAUUCAUGGAAAUCUUUCUGCCUCAGUCUUCAAAGUGUUCAUAUUACAAGCAUGAGUCAUCACAGCUGGUAAAUAAUAUCACUAUUACACAUGUUCUAUGGAGCACCACUACAUCUUACUGUGAUCUUCAGUGUGGAUGAUCUUGAAAUUCAGAAGUGUCAGCUUGCAGCAUGGUUUGAAAAUAUCUGUCCAGUUAUGAAAUUUAUGGGCCAGGAAUUUGUCAACGAAACAUGGGUGAAUGAGUUCAUCCUCUUGGGGCUUUUCAAUGACCAGAACACUCAUGUCUUUCUCUUUUUUGUGAUACUUGCAAUGUAUGUCAUAACUGUUGUGGGGAAUUCUCUGAUUCUUCUCAUCAGCCUGGCCAGGAGGCUUCAUACUCCAUGUACUUCUUCCUCAGUGUUCUUUCCAUAGUGGAUCUUUACUAUGGGAAUACUAUUGCCCCACAAGUUGGCUCACUUGGUUUCUGCCCAGAAGCUCAUUUCUUUCCAUAGCUAUGUGUUCCAGCUCUGUGUCUCCUUGGCCUUGGGUGUUUCUUCUUUCUUCUUCCUGAGAGCUAUGUUUUAUGACAAGAAGAUGAGAAAUUAGUGCUCAGGAAAUAUGACUUAGUCUCCCAGAGGAUUUUUUCAUUACUGUCCUGACACUGUUGUUUUUCUUCAAUCAAUAAUUCAGUAGUAAGGAAACUAUGAAGGAUUCUGGAGUUGAAGGGCAGCAAUUACUCAUUAUACUUUCUUUUACUUUACCUUUUACAGACCCUCUAUCAUCUAUCUAUCUAUCUAUCUAUCUAUCUAUCUAUCUAUCUAUCUAUCUACAAUUAUAUUGCCUGCAUGUAUGUGUAUAUACCAAUCAUGUGCCUGACUCCUGGACAAGUCAGAAAAGGCCAAAAGAUCUCCUGAAACUAGAGUUGUAGGUGGCUAUGAGGUGUCACAUGCACUGGAACCCAAACCUGGCUCCUCUGCAAGAACAGCAAGUUCUUGUCACCCCAGAGAAUGUCUAGUCCCUGACGUUCCUUCUUACAGUAAGAUAAGUUUAUAAAACUCACUUAUCUUCAACAAUAAUCCACAUGCUAAUUAAUGAUCUACCGAUAUAUAAGCUUAUCCCAUAUGCUUUUCCCUUUGACUUAAAUAUUUUAAGUCAAAUAUUUUACUUGCUCUUAUCAGAAAUAAUCUCAUUUGCUACCAAAGAAAGAGAGAAAGAAAGAAGAAAGAAAGAAAGAAAGAUGUAGUCUCCCCUCCCCCAGCCUGAAACCUGCUUGCUCAGGGGUGGAGCUUCCUGCUCAUUCAUUCUGCCACGCCCACUACUGGAAUCUGCUGCUUUGCUGUUCCGGAGCCACACACGUGCUCACCUUUCUACUGGACCCGAGAGUAUUCGUUGGGAAUCGUGUCCCUUCCCCCUUCCUUCAUAACUAGUGUCACAACAAUAAAAUUUGAGCUUUGAUCA
This 2183-nucleotide long non-coding RNA is filed under the name Mus spicilegus (steppe mouse). Its description in RNAcentral is "lncRNA (ENSMSIG00000015517.1)". Lineage: Eukaryota; Metazoa; Chordata; Mammalia; Rodentia; Muridae. The record is from RNAcentral.